This 472-nucleotide ribosomal RNA is filed under the name Salacia desmoides. RNAcentral describes it as "partial 16S ribosomal RNA". It matches the Rfam family "Bacterial large subunit ribosomal RNA", at positions 1914 to 2542 of the family's 2925-position model. Lineage: Eukaryota; Metazoa; Cnidaria; Hydrozoa; Leptothecata; Sertulariidae. The record is from RNAcentral.
AAAACUAAAAGGACGCGGUAACCUUGACCGUGAUAAUGUAGCAUAAUCAUUCGCCAUUUAAUUGAUGGAUAGUAUGAAUGGUUGAACGAAUAUUUCACUGUCUUAAAAAGAAACAUUUAAAAAUUAGAAUAAUAGUAAAGAUACUAUUUAAAAUUGUAAGACGAAAAGACCCUAUAGAGCUUAACUAUAAUCUUUUACUAAUCAAAAGAAAAAAUUCUUUAAAAUAAAAAGAUUGGUAGUUUAGUUGGGGCGACUAUCUUUUAAAAUUAACAAAGAUAAGCAAAGUAAAUAAAAAAACUUAUUGUAUAAUUAAUAAAUUUAACAAUUACUAAAGUAGGCUAUAAUGACCCGUUAUAAUUUUAUAAAAAAAAAUAACGAUCAAUAAAUAAAAGCUACCUUAGGGAUAACAGGAUAAUUUUAUUUUAGAGAUCAUAUCGAAAAUAAAGUUUGUCACCUCUAUGUUGAAUUAAGA